Orcinus orca (killer whale) is the source of this 302-nucleotide long non-coding RNA. RefSeq lists it as uncharacterized. The record is from RefSeq and is a predicted model, not a curated record. The transcript is spliced from 3 exons. NCBI's taxonomy places the organism in Eukaryota, Metazoa, Chordata, Mammalia, Artiodactyla, Delphinidae.
CAAAUACAAGAAGUUAACACCUGGAUGGAUGCAGAAUGCCAAUGAAGAAAAUUCCAUUAUACCAUCAGCUCUGGCUUCCUGGAUGACCCAGGAAACAGGAAGCAGAGAGACUUCUCCAAAUGGUUAGCCAUAGAGACCAGGAGGAAGCUCAGAAUAGUCUGCACGACCAUGUGGAACUGGUACAGAGGGAAUAGUAGUUGCUGAAGAAACAGUCAACAAGAUGAAUUUCUUCACCAAAAAGAUGAAGCGGACAUCCUCUGCCAUCAAUACCUGAAUAUAAGGAUAUAAAUUCUAUGAAAACA